UGGUAGUGUAUUGGACUACCACGGCAGUCACGGGUAACGGAGAAUUAGGGUUCGGUUCCGGAGAGGGAGCCUGAGAAACGGCUACCACAUCUAAGGAAGGCAGCAGGCGCGUAAAUUACCCAAUCCUGAUUCAGGGAGGUAGUGACAAGAAAUAACAACCUGGGGGCUUUUAGCCUUACGGGAUUGCAAUGAAAACAGUUCAAAUCACUUAACGAGGAACAAUUGGAGGGCAAGUCUGGUGCCAGCAGCCGCGGUAAUUCCAGCCCCAAUAGCGUAUAUUAAAGUUGUUGCAGUUAAAAAGCUCGUAGUUGAACUUCUGUCAGUCUUUGGUUUUGGCUUCGGUCGAGCCAAGGAUUGUCAUCCGUCUGUAAACCAUUUUCGGCCUUAACUGGUCGGCUUGGGGAGCAGACAUUUUACUUUGAAAAAAUUAGAGUGUUUCAGGCAGGCAUUUGCCCGAAUACAUUACCAUGGAAUAAAGGAAUAGGACUUAGUCCAUUUGAUUGGUUAUUGGAUUGAGUAAUGAUUAAUACGGACAGUCGGAGACAUCUGGAUUUAAUAGUCAGAG
This 565-nucleotide ribosomal RNA is filed under the name uncultured ciliate. RNAcentral describes it as "bacterial SSU rRNA". It matches the Rfam family "Eukaryotic small subunit ribosomal RNA", at positions 326 to 910 of the family's 1831-position model. The record is from RNAcentral. Lineage: Eukaryota; Ciliophora.